AUGGGUAAAAAAAUCCGGAGAAGCUUCCUAAUUCUGGUCAUUUUUGGCACCAUCGGUUAUGGCACCGCACAAGAACUACCUCAGAAUAAACAAGAGCCUGCUCAGAUAAGUCUACGGAGUCAACUUGAACCAGUUUACCGAUUCGUAGAAUCGUUCUCAAACCCCGAUGCUUUUUCGCGAAUUUUCAAUGACAUUGCCACUUGGUACAGACAACAGUUGGCACCGUCCAUUGCCAAUGGUGGCAACUCACUAUUGUCAUUCCUACCCUCGGUUGGAGGCAAAAACCGGGGUUCUGAAAGAAGUCAGUGGAAUCCCUUUGGGAUGAUGGAAUCUCAAAGUUCCGGCGCAAAUGAUGAUAUUGAUAUCAUCCCGGAAAUCGAUACGACGCACUUAGACGCGUUCAUUCAAAGAUUGGUCGAUUCCUUGCUCCCAAGGCCGAGCCCCCAGCAGCUCGCUUCCCUUACAGCUCAACAACUUACAACAACUAAGAAACCUAUCGCAGCGAUGGAUCAUAAUAAUAUAGGCCGACGGCGUUUCCACGCAGCCACGCAUAAUCGCCAAGCGUAA
RNAcentral lists this long non-coding RNA (567 nucleotides) under Bemisia tabaci. Its description in RNAcentral is "lncRNA ENSSSA1NGG001909". Lineage: Eukaryota; Metazoa; Arthropoda; Insecta; Hemiptera; Aleyrodidae. The record is from RNAcentral.